This 254-nucleotide ribosomal RNA is filed under the name uncultured bacterium. Its description in RNAcentral is "partial 16S ribosomal RNA". It matches the Rfam family "Bacterial small subunit ribosomal RNA", at positions 524 to 776 of the family's 1533-position model. The record is from RNAcentral.
UACGUAGGGUGCAAGCGUUGUCCGGAAUUAUUGGGCGUAAAGAGCUCGUAGGCGGUCUGUCGCGUCGGCUGUGAAAACUCGGGGCUCAACCCCGAGCCUGCAGUCGAUACGGGCAGACUAGAGUGCUGUAGGGGGAGACUGGAAUUCCCGGUGUAGCGGUGGAAUGCGCAGAUAUCAGGAGGAACACCGAUGGCGAAGGCAGGUCUCUGGACGGCAACUGACGCUGAGGCACGAAAGCGUGGGGAGCAAACAGG